CCUACGGGUGGCAGCAGUCGGGAAUAAUGCGCAAUGGGCGAAAGCCUGACGCAGCGACGCCGCGUGAGGGAUGAAGGUCUUCGGAUCGUAAACCUCUGUCAGCAGGGAAGAACGGUCACUGUGCUAAUCAGCAGUGAAUUGACGGUACCUGCAAAGGAAGCACCGGCUAACUCCGUGCCAGCAGCCGCGGGAAUACGGAGGGUGCGAGCGUUAAUCGGAAUUACUGGGCGUAAAGCGCUCGUAGGCGGUAUGUCAAGUCAAGGGUGAAAGCCCCGCGCUCAACGUGGGAACUGCCUUUGAAACUGGCAAACUGGAGUGUGUGAGAGGAUAGUGGAAUUCCAGGUGUAGGAGUGAAAUCCGUAGAUAUCGGGAGGAACAUCAGUGGCGAAGGCGACUAUCUGGCACAUAACUGACGCUGAGGAGCGAAAGCGUGGGUAGCAAACAGGAUUAGAUACCCGGGUAGUC
RNAcentral lists this ribosomal RNA (465 nucleotides) under uncultured bacterium. Its description in RNAcentral is "partial 16S ribosomal RNA". It matches the Rfam family "Bacterial small subunit ribosomal RNA", at positions 338 to 795 of the family's 1533-position model. The record is from RNAcentral.